UACGUAGGGCGCAAGCGUUAUUCGGAAUUAUUGGGCGUAAAGGGCGCGUAGGCGGCUAGAUGUGUCAAAGGUGAAAUCCCUCGGCUCAACUGAGGAACUGCCUUUGAAACUGUCUGGCUUGAGGCCGGGAGAGGGUAGCGGAAUUCCCAGUGUAGCGGUGAAAUGCGUAGAUAUUGGGAGGAACACCAGUGGCGAAGGCGGCUACCUGGACCGGUUCUGACGCUGAGGCGCGAAAGCGUGGGUAGCAAACAGG
RNAcentral lists this ribosomal RNA (253 nucleotides) under uncultured bacterium. Its description in RNAcentral is "partial 16S ribosomal RNA". It matches the Rfam family "Bacterial small subunit ribosomal RNA", at positions 524 to 776 of the family's 1533-position model. The record is from RNAcentral.